UACGUAGGUGGCAAGCGUUGUCCGGAUUUACUGGGCGUAAAGAGCGCGCAGGCGGUCGAUUUAGUCGCGUGUGAAAGCCCCCGGCUCAACUGGGGAGGGUCACGCGAUACUGAUCGACUCGAAGGCAGGAGAGGGUAGUGGAAUUCCCGGUGUAGUGGUGAAAUGCGUAGAUAUCGGGAGGAACACCAGUGGCGAAGGCGACUUCCUGGCCUGUUCUUGACGCUGAGGCGCGAAAGCUAGGGUAGCAAACGGG
Molecule: ribosomal RNA, 253 nt
Filed under: uncultured bacterium
Lineage: Bacteria
Description: partial 16S ribosomal RNA
Rfam family: Bacterial small subunit ribosomal RNA
Source: RNAcentral